Molecule: ribosomal RNA, 253 nt
Filed under: uncultured bacterium
Lineage: Bacteria
Description: partial 16S ribosomal RNA
Rfam family: Bacterial small subunit ribosomal RNA
Source: RNAcentral
UACGAAGGGGGCUAGCGUUGUUCGGAAUUACUGGGCGUAAAGCGCACGUAGGCGGACUAUUAAGUCAGGGGUGAAAUCCCGGGGCUCAACCCCGGAACUGCCUUUGAUACUGGUAGUCUCGAGUCCGGAAGAGGUGAGUGGAAUUCCGAGUGUAGAGGUGAAAUUCGUAGAUAUUCGGAAGAACACCAGUGGCGAAGGCGGCUCACUGGACCGGUAUUGACGCUGAGGUGCGAAAGCGUGGGGAGCAAACAGG